AUGAAGAACGUAGCGAAAUGCGAUAAGUAAUGUGAAUUGCAGAAUUCCGUGAAUCAUCGAAUCUUUGAACGCACAUUGCGCCCUCUGGUAUUCCGGGGGGCAUGCCUGUCCGAGCGUCAUUUGCAACCCUCAAGCCCGGCUUGUGUGAUGGGUGCCGUCCCCUACGGGACGCGCCCCGAAGGCAAUGGCGGCGUCGCGGUUAUCCGAUCAGCCAAAGUGUAUGGGGCUUUGUCACUCACUUUACGGCCCGGACCGGCGCCAGUCCGAAUCAAUCUUUUUUCUAAAGUUGACCUCGGAUCAGGUAGGGAUACCCGCUGAACUUAAGCAUAUCAAUAAGCGGAGGA
This 344-nucleotide unclassified non-coding RNA is filed under the name soil metagenome. Its description in RNAcentral is "partial contains 5.8S ribosomal RNA, internal transcribed spacer 2, and large subunit ribosomal RNA". The stretch from base 1 to 119 matches the Rfam family "5.8S ribosomal RNA", at positions 36 to 154 of the family's 154-position model. The record is from RNAcentral.